AUGAGUUAUACCUCAUGAGCUGGCUCAGUUCGAUUUUUCAUGAGCAUGAUCUUUGUUUUUUACACUCAUUUAAUAAAUGAGCUUAAUGAUCGAGUUUAAAUUAGAUCACGAGUUAUAUGAAAGAUUUUUAAUGAUCAUAAGCUAAAUCAUGACCUUGGUCGCUUUUAUACUUAAUGUAUAUAUAUAUACAUACAUAUAUAUAGAUGACUUCUAUUUUUCUUAUGUAAGAAAAUAUAGUUCUUAUAUUAAUUGUAUUUAUCUUCUAAAAUUAAAAUGUAAAACCAAAAAGUUAUAAUUAUUUUCAAAAAUGUUAAAGAAUAUUGAUAUCAAUCCUCGUAUCAUAUAUCUUUAAAAUUAAAAACUAAAACAAAAUAUUCCUAAGAUUCUCAUCCAGAAUAUAUAUAUUUUUAUAAUCUGAAUAGAUGAAGACUUUGAACAUGAAUCAUCUCAAAACUCUUAUGUGAAAUAGAUUUUCGGAUCACUGAUUUAACUUUUUAAUUUAUUAUUAGGUGCUAUAUUUAUUCAAUAUUUAAUAUUAAUGUUUUGGAUUAAUUUUAAAUUAUAUUAUGAAAAUUAUUUUGCUUUAUAAUUUAUUUUAUAAUUAUUUUUAUACUUUAUCGCGAGUUAUCUCAUUUAGUUCAUAAUCUAGAUGAUUUGAGUUCGACUUUACAUAUUGAAGCUCAUAUAAUAAAUGAGAUAAGCCAAGCUGGGCUGAGCUGGGCUAGCUCAUGAAAUAUCCGAGUUCACUGUAAGUUGAGCGAGUUAGCUCAUUUUGACACCCCUAGAUACAAUGUAGUUCUUGAAACGAUGUUGUUAGUCCUCGUUCUAGUGCUUGAUAUGACAUCGUUCAAACUUAAAUCUAGUUUUUCAUACGAUCUGCACUUUGAUACGAUGUCGUUUGAUUUAAUUCUUGAUACGAUGUGUUCGCAUACAAACAAAACAUGUUUCCUUGCAGAAUGAGACAUUCUCAAACUAACUAAUCUUAUGAAAGUUACAAAAUUCCCUAGUAUCUGAUGGUGUGAUGUGUUGGUCUCGAAUUAUCUCACAAUUAAUAUGUUUGCUUAUAGUCAAAAUAACUACAACUAGCCAUUUCAAAGUAGAUUUUAAGUUUAACAUUUCUUACAUUAAAGGUCAUACCAAAAGUAGUCUGCAAACUUUCUCAACACUGGUCGAGUUUAAACAUUUCUCCACAAAAAAAAACCACACGAUGACACAAGUCUGAAAAUAAACCAACCAUGAACCAAUUCCCAAAAGUAUUUCAUCCUGGAUCCAAAAGAUAGAAUUCACACAUCUUGAUCCCUUCUCCUUUUUUAUCCCAGUACACCAACAUCUUUCUCUUCCGACGAACUCCAUUUGGCAGUAUUGCAUAUAGUUCUCGAUCCAACCCUUCAUCAUCAGGCACUUGCCAUGUUUGCUGGUCCGAAUCUCUAUGCACUUCAUUCCAUACUCGGUCCUUUUAAUCCAUUGGAUCAAAUGAGUCCAACAUGAACCGUUCAAACUCAGCUUGAACAAACACCACAAGCAGCACACUGUCCAAAACAAAUACUCAAGAAUCACUAUUAGUCUAUAAAAAACUAAGUCAAUAAUUGUAUUGCAUGAAUUAAGGAAAGAAUCAUUACUGUUCAAAAUCUAUCAAGAUUUUAAUAGCAGGCCUCACAACUGAGGGUGUCAUCGGUGAAUCAUUCUUCUUAGAUUCUUAGGCCACACAUGAUAAUCACCAAUUGGGAGUCUCACAUAUGAACUCUGCGUAAGCCAACUUUUGAUGUUAUAUUUUGUCAUUAAUACAUCCCUUCAAGUGAUUCUUUGGCAAUUUUUGAGCAGUAUUUGGGCAAUAAUCUAUGGACACAUUUUAUGGGAUAAUAAAUGGGUUGGAUGGGGUAGAAUUAGGUCUAUGAAUCUAUGACAUCUUCAGCAAUAAACUUGAGUGUAUCAUAUCAGAUAUGUCUAAGUUUUUUUAGCUAAAAAAAAAAAUAAGUUUUUUUUAGCUUUUUAACUCCAUGUAAGAUAAUCAGAAUCUGAGAAUCUAACAUAUCUACUCCACAUAAAACGAGACAUAUGAAAUUUGGUAGAAUUGUUACAAAUGUCAUCAAUGUGGUUUCAACAACCUCUUCCAAAACAAUUUCAUCUAGAUUAUAAUUAUUGUAUUAAAAAAAUCAGCUUUUUGUAAUGUGAAAUUUUCUUAUUUGUGAAACUGCACUUUGUGAAUAAUCUAUAUUAUAAUUAUAAUAGGAUAGUUUUUGUUCUCUCCUAAGCUUGUCUACAUCAGCAGUAAUUUUUUGUGUGGGUCCCACAACUUCUCAGUAUUGUCAACGAGUUUGGUCUUUCAUGAGUUUUUUAUUGGGCUCAAUAUUGGGUUAUUGUUCUAAUUCUCUAUGGGCCUAUAUGCCACCAAACCGGGUAGUUAGGAUUAUUAUUUGGGAAGUUACGACCAACACUCCUCGCCACCUAUGUUCUCUUCGAUUCAUCUUCCCGACGAUGAGGAAUCUGAAAGAUUUCACUGAAUCAUGCUUAAUCCAAGCAUCGUCUUUAAUGCAAUCAUGCAUCCCCCCCCCCCCCCCUUUUAUUCUCUUUCUCUGAAUCUUCGAGUAUAAAAAGUGAUUUAAAGACUGGCUCCACUGUUCGCCUCCCUCUUGCCACAAUCAUUGAAUCCCUCUUUCGUAAGAUCUUUGUCUAUCAGUUCAUUAUAAUCCAGAUAUUUAUAAAAAAAUUGUCAUUCACUCAUGAUCCUAUUUAGUUUUCUGGCGUGAGAAACUCUGCAUAUUUGAGUUGUUUAAUAGAUUCUCGCUAAUAGCCUCGUCAUUGGAAUAAUUGCAGAUUUGGGUUGUCUUCUUUCUAUUAAUAGAUACGUGUGGUGUGUAAAUAAGGUGAUUCAAAUGAGAUGAAUAAUGGAUCGCUGAGUUUGGUCCGAACUCUAUAUUUCUUUCCUCAUGUUUUUAUGCUAUUUUUUAACAGUAGCACUAGAGUAUGAGAUGGGUGAUGCUCAUAUGGCUAUUUAAGCCACGAGUGAGGAAACUUUCUUUUAUGUAGUAUAAAAUAUUAGUUUCAAGAACUCAGCUUUAAUAAACGUCUGUUGAUUAAAGCGGGCUGAACUAUGUGUCUUUCAGUUACAUUGAAGCAGAGCAGCCUCAACUUCACACUGUCUGACUCUCCUCUAUCGAUGUUUACCGCUCGAUGUCUCUGCCGCUCAAGUCAAAUGCUUAUUCACCAAGCUCAUAGAGAAAGAGGUUUUUGUUCCUAUUUGCUUUGUGAUCUACUAAGAGAUUCGUGUCUAAAUCCUAAAAAUAUUAUUGAAUUUGUGCCGUGUCUGAGAGUCAUCAAGUGAAACUAAAAUCUUACAAAGCAAUGGACACAUGUGGUCGGAAAUUGAAACUGUUGGAAGUAGUGAACAUUUUGAUAAUUGGUUUACUUUAUAUAGUUUGGAUUUGAAUUUCAGUUUUUUUGAUUAAAAGCAGAGUAUUCAUUUAUUAAUAUGUAGUUUGAUUGGUCAGGGUGAUAAACAGUCAAAUAGGGCCACUUAACAUGUUGCACAACGACAUAGUAACGUUUAAUUUAUGAUAGCAUCCAUGCAAACUGUAAUGUUUCAUUUCUUCCAUGAGCAAGAGGAAAGGGCUUAUACUUCUUCCUCAUUAUGACAUUCUCGUAUAUUUGGCAUUCUCGUAUCUUUCUCUUUGAAAGUAAUUAGCGUUACUUUCUAAACCCCCUAUAGACUGUGUCAAUUGUUUAAUUUAAAUCCGGCAAAUACCAAAAGUAUGUAUUAAAUCCACUGAUGGGUUGUUGGAAAGACAUUUUAUUCAAAAUCCAAAUAAUUUUUUUUGUCGGCUACCCAUCUAAGCUAGAUCAAGUGGUGGUCAGACGAGCCGAUCCAAAUAAUUUGGCCGAACUAUAUCCAAAUUAGCUGAAAUCUGUUUACUUGAUGGACCAUGACUGAUGGAUGUAAUCCAUCUCCAACAUUUAGUCUAACAUCUUGCACUGCCAUCAUUUUAGAAUACUGGGGUUUAAUUUUGCCUCUUUCACAGUUUUGAAUAUUUUCAGGUGAUUUGUGAAACUGCAGAUGCUUGGUAUGAUGAGCUAAUUAAGGACAUAUAAGGUGUAAAGAAAGGCCAAGAAAUGAGCUUGGAGAUUAAGAGGAGUUGUAGCUGCAGAUAUAACUUGGUAGGCCGCUAAGGAAGAAGAGAAGAAUAGGUGGUAGCAGUUUCAAGACCACUACAACUGCUACUCAUCAUAGUGGGAGCACCUGAUGAAGGUAACCACUACUACGAGCUCGCUUCAAGGUCUCAAGGGUGAAGAACAAACUCUAUGUGGAGGUUUACACAGGGGGAAAGACUGCUAAGAUAGACCACUCCAGGAAGCUUUCAAAACUGUAUCCAUCUGUUAUGGAUCCAAUCUAUUUUUUCAUGGAUAGCAUGGUUUCUCUUUUCUCUAUCUAUGAGUAUUUGUUCAGAGUUAAGUUUAUUAAAAAAAAAUUUAAAAGAUAUUUUUGUUCUGAUUA
Long non-coding RNA from Brassica napus (rape), 4489 nucleotides. RefSeq lists it as uncharacterized. The transcript has 2 exons. The record is from RefSeq and is a predicted model, not a curated record. Lineage: Eukaryota; Viridiplantae; Streptophyta; Magnoliopsida; Brassicales; Brassicaceae.